AGAGUUUGAUCAUGGCUCAGGGUGAACGCUGGCGGCAUGCCUAACACAUGCAAGUCGAUCGGUAAGGUCCUUCGGGAUACACGAGAGGCGGACGGCUGAGUAACGCAUGGGAACGCACCCUACACUGAGGGAUAAGAUGCCGAAAGGUGUUCUAAUACCGCAUGUGGUCUUCGGAUUAAAGUAUUUAUACGGUGAAGGAGCGGCCUGUGUCAUAUUAGGUAGUUGGUGAGGUAAUGGCUCACCAAGCCAACGAUGUGUAGCUGGUCUUAGAGGAUGAUCAGCCAGACUGGAACUGAGAACGGUCCAGACUCCUACGGGAGGCAGCAGUGAGGAAUCUUCCACAAUGGGCGAAAGCCUGAUGGAGCAAUGCCGCGUGCAGGAUGAAGGCCUUCGGGUUGUAAACUGCUUUUAUUAGAGAAGAAUAUGACGGUAACUAAUGAAUAAGGGACGGCUAACUACGUGCCAGCAGCCGCGGUCAUACGUAGGUCCCAAGCGUUAUCCGGAGUGACUGGGCGUAAAGAGUUGCGUAGGCGGUUAAAUAAGUGGGUGAUGAAAUCUAUUGGCUCAACCGGUAGACUGUUAUCCAAACUGUUUGACUUGAGAGUAUCAGAGGUCGCUGGAAUUCCUAGUGUAGCAGUGAAAUGCGUAGAUAUUAGGAAGAACACCGAUGGCGUAGGCAGGCGACUGGGGUACUUCUGACGCUAAGGCACGAAAGCGUGUGUAGCGAACCGGAUUAGAUACCCGGGUAGUCCACGCCGUAAACGAUGAAUGCUAAUUGUCUGGGGUAUCAACCCCUUGGGUAAUAAAGCUAACGCGUUAAGCAUUCCGCCUGUGGAGUACGGCCGCAAGGCUAAAACAUAAAGGAAUUGACGGGGACCCGCACAAGCGGUGGAGGAUGUUCUUUAAUUCGAUGAUAGCGAAGAACCUUACCAGGACUUGACAUCCCUUUGAAUUUCUCC
RNAcentral lists this ribosomal RNA (959 nucleotides) under uncultured sponge bacterium. RNAcentral describes it as "bacterial SSU rRNA". It matches the Rfam family "Bacterial small subunit ribosomal RNA", at positions 8 to 1002 of the family's 1533-position model. The record is from RNAcentral.